CCUACGGGAGGCAGCAGUGGGGAAUAUUGCACAAUGGGGGAAACCCUGAUGCAGCGACGCCGCGUGAGCGAGGAAGUAUUUCGGUAUGUAAAGCUCUGUCAGUAGGGAAGAAGAAUGACGGAACCUGAAGAAGAAGCACCGGCUAAAUACGUCCCAGCAGCCGCGGUAAUACGUAUGGUGCACGCGGUAUCCGGAUUUACUGGGGUUAAAGGGAUCGCAGGCGGUUUUGCAAGUCUGAUGUGAAAGUCCGGGGCUCAACCGGGGGACUGCAUUGGAAACUGCGGGACUGGAGUGUAGGAGGGGUAAGCGGAAUUCGUGGUGUAGCGGUGAAAUGCGUAGAUAUCACGAGGAACACCGGUGGCGAAGGCGGCUUACUGGACGAUCACUGACGCUGAGGCUCGAAAGCGUGGGGAGCAAACAGGAUUAGAUACCCGAGUAGUC
Molecule: ribosomal RNA, 441 nt
Filed under: uncultured bacterium
Lineage: Bacteria
Description: partial 16S ribosomal RNA
Rfam family: Bacterial small subunit ribosomal RNA
Source: RNAcentral